AGCAGCCGCGGUAAUUCCAGCUCCAAUAGCGUAUAUUAAAGUUGUUGCAGUUAAAAAGCUCGUAGUUGAAUUUCGGGAUCAAUAUGUUGGUCGUGCCUUGGUACGUACUGGCAUUAUCGAUUCCUACCUUCUGAAGAACUUCGAUGUCAUUAAUUUGGUGUCUUGGGAAAUCAGGACUGUUACUUUGAAAAAAUUAGAGUGUUUAAAGCAGGCUCGCGCUUGAAUACAUUAGCAUGGAAUAAUGAAAUAGGACGUUUGAUUCUAUUUUGUUGGUUUCUAGGAUCGACGUAAUGAUUAAUAGGGAUAGUUGGGGGCAUUAGUAUUCAAUUGUCAGAGGUGAAAUUCUUGGAUUUAUUGAAGACUAACUACUGCGAAAGCAUUUGCCAAGGAUGUUUUCAUUAAUCAAGAACGAAAGUUAGGGGAUCGAAGACGAUCAGAUACCGUCGUAGUCUUAACCAUAAACUAUGCCGACUAGGGAUCGGAUGAUGUUAAUUUUUAAUGA
This 502-nucleotide ribosomal RNA is filed under the name uncultured Glomus. RNAcentral describes it as "SSU rRNA". It matches the Rfam family "Eukaryotic small subunit ribosomal RNA", at positions 569 to 1074 of the family's 1831-position model. The record is from RNAcentral. Lineage: Eukaryota; Fungi; Glomeromycota; Glomeromycetes; Glomerales; Glomeraceae.